RNAcentral lists this transfer RNA (74 nucleotides) under Vanrija pseudolonga. RNAcentral's name for it is "tRNA-Asn". It matches the Rfam family "tRNA". Rfam says of the family: Transfer RNA (tRNA) molecules are approximately 80 nucleotides in length. Their secondary structure includes four short double-helical elements and three loops (D, anti-codon, and T loops). Further hydrogen bonds mediate the characteristic L-shaped molecular structure. tRNAs have two regions of fundamental functional importance: the anti-codon, which is responsible for specific mRNA codon recognition, and the 3' end, to which the tRNAs corresponding amino acid is attached (by aminoacyl-tRNA synthetases). tRNAs cope with the degeneracy of the genetic code in two manners: having more than one tRNA (with a specific anti-codon) for a particular amino acid; and 'wobble' base-pairing, i.e. permitting non-standard base-pairing at the 3rd anti-codon position. The record is from RNAcentral. RNAcentral also lists the same sequence under 1 other name. Lineage: Eukaryota; Fungi; Basidiomycota; Tremellomycetes; Trichosporonales; Trichosporonaceae.
UGCCCUAUGGCUCAGUUGGCUAGCGCGUGGAGCUGUUAACUCCGAGGUCCACGGUUCGAGCCCGUGUGGGGCAG